GGGGUAUUAGCUCAGUCGGUAGAGCACUUGACUUUUAAUCAAGUUGUCCGGGGUUCGAACCCCCGAUGCCUCA
Molecule: transfer RNA, 73 nt
Filed under: Kineothrix alysoides
Lineage: Bacteria; Bacillati; Bacillota; Clostridia; Lachnospirales; Lachnospiraceae
Rfam family: tRNA
About the family: Transfer RNA (tRNA) molecules are approximately 80 nucleotides in length.
Source: Rfam by way of RNAcentral